Molecule: ribosomal RNA, 497 nt
Filed under: uncultured bacterium
Lineage: Bacteria
Description: partial 16S ribosomal RNA
Rfam family: Bacterial small subunit ribosomal RNA
Source: RNAcentral
GACGAACGCUGGCGGCGUGCCUAAUACAUGCAAGUUGAGCGCUGAAGGUUGGUACUUGUACCGACUGGAUGAGCAGCGAACGGGUGAGUAACGCGUGGGGAAUCUGCCUUUGAGCGGGGGACAACAUUUGGAAACGAAUGCUAAUACCGCAUAAAAACUUUAAACACAAGUUUUAAGUUUGAAAGAUGCAAUUGCAUCACUCAAAGAUGAUCCCGCGUUGUAUUAGCUAGUUGGUGAGGUAAAGGCUCACCAAGGCGAUGAUACAUAGCCGACCUGAGAGGGGGAUUGGCCAACAUGGGAACUGGAACAGGCCCAAACCCCUAACGGAGGACGCAGGAGGGGAAUUUUGGGAAAUGAAGGAAGGCCGGACGAGAAAAGCCGGGGGAGGGGAGGAGGGUUUCGGGUUGUUAAAACCCGGUGGUUAGGAAGAACGGUGGUGGGAGGGGAAAGCUCAUUAAGUGGCGGUAACUACCCAGAAAGGGACGGCUAACUACGUG